RNAcentral lists this long non-coding RNA (40106 nucleotides) under Lactuca sativa (garden lettuce). RNAcentral describes it as "long non-coding RNA (LSAT_LNC007892)". The record is from RNAcentral. Lineage: Eukaryota; Viridiplantae; Streptophyta; Magnoliopsida; Asterales; Asteraceae.
UGAGUACUUGUGAAAGGGGUGAGGGUCUAUUGGACCUAAUACAUACCGAUGUAUGUGGACCGUUUAGAUCAACCACGAAGGAUGGGAACCGCUUCUAUGUGACUUUUACCGAUGAUUAUAGUAGAUAUGGGUAUAUCUAUUUAAUCAAGCAAAAGUCAGAAACCUUUGAAAAGUUCAAAGAGUUCAAGAAUGAAGUGGAGAAUCAAUUGGGCAGGAAAAUCAAGAUGCUUCGAUCCGAUCGAGGAGGAGAGUACCUAAGUCUUGAAUUCCACGAUUAUCUCAAGGAGUGUGGAAUAGUUUCGCAAUUGACGCCUCCUAGGACACCGCAGUUGAAUGGUGUGGCAGAAAGGCGUAAUCGAACCUUAUUGGAUAUGGUUCGCUCUAUGAUGAGUCGUGCUUCACUACCUAUCUCUUUUUGGGGGUAUGCCUUAGAGACUGCCGCCCAUAUCCUUAACCGAGUCCCUACUAAGAAGGUUGCCAAAACACCUCACGAGAUGUGGACAGGGAAAGCUCCCUCGUUGGCACAUAUCAAGGUUUGGGGUUGCGAGGCUUUCGUAAGACGAGAUACUCACGACAAGCUUGAACCUCGAAGUGAGCGAUGUAUUUUCAUCGGCUACCCGCAGACAUCCUUUGGAUAUCUCUUCUAUAGACCGAAGGACAAUGUUGUCUUCGUUGCGAGGAGAGGAGUUUUCCGAGAGCGAGAACUCAUAAGCCAAGGAGACAGUGGGAGGCAAAUCGAACUUGAAGAGAUUCAAGAGUCGAUAGAUGAAGGAACCUCUACCGCUGGCACUCAACCCGAGGAGGAAACUCCGGUUGAACCGAUUGACGAAUCCUUACCUCUUAGACGUUCCGAUAGAGUUAGAGUUCAACCCCAGUUUUAUGGUUUUCAUAUUACUACCGAAGGGGACACGUAUAUUAGUGAUGGUACACUAAUAAAUCUUGAUGAACCUAAUAGCUAUAAGGAAGCCAUGGCAGGCCCGGAGUCUGCAAAAUGGAAAGAGGCAAUGGAUAGCGAGAUCCAAUCCAUGUAUGAUAACCAAGUUUGGAAUUUGGUUGAUUAUGUGCCCGGACGUAAGACCGUUGGGUGCAAAUGGAUCUUCAAGAAGAAGACCGACGUGGAUGGAAACGUACACACAUAUAAAGCGCGAUUGGUUGCGAAGGGCUUUACUCAAACUCCCGGAGUUGACUAUGAUGAGACCUUCUCACCAGUUGCGAAGAUUAAAUCUAUUAGAGUGAUGCUAGCAAUUGCCGCAUUUCAUGAUUAUGAGAUUUGGCAAAUGGAUGUCAAGACCGCUUUCCUUAACGGAAAGUUGGCUGAGGAUGUUUACAUGGCUCAGCCAGAGGGGUUUGUGGAUCCGAAGCAUCCGAAUAGAGUGUGUAAGCUUGAGAAGUCCAUUUAUGGACUUAAGCAAGCGUCUCGCAGAUGGAAUCUUUGCUUCGAUGAGAAAGUCAAAGAGUUUGGAUUUGUACGAAGCGAAGACGAAUCUUGUGUAUAUGUCAAAGCCAGUGGGAGUAUAGUAAGCUUCCUCGUUCUAUAUGUCGAUGACAUAUUACUCAUAGGAAACGACAUCCCGACUCUGCAGGAGGUUAAGUCCUGGCUCGGGAAGUGCUUCGCUAUGAAGGACCUCGGAGAGGCUUCUUACAUUUUGGGAAUAAGGAUAGUAAGAGAAAGAAGUAAGAGACUAAUUGGACUUAGUCAGAAUACUUACUUAGAGAAGGUACUAAAACGUUUUAGUAUGGAAAACUCAAAGAAGGGAGAACUACCGAUACAAAGUAAUGCCAAAUUGAGUAAGACUCAAAGUCCGAGUACCGAAGCUGAGAUAGCAGAAAUGAGCCGAGUACCAUACGCUUCCGCAGUUGGCUCAAUCAUGUACGCUAUGACUUGUACUCGCCCUGAUGUAGCCUUCGCUUUGAGCAUGGUUAGCAGAUAUCAAGGGAAUCCUGGCAGAGCACAUUGGAUUGCGGUGAAGAAUAUCCUUAAGUACCUUCGGAGGACGAAGGAAUGGUUCUUAGUCCUCGGAGGGAGUGAUGACUUGAAGGUGCGAGGGUAUAGUGACGCCAGUUUUCAGACCGACAGGGACAACUACCGUUCGCAGUCGGGCUGGGUCUUUACCCUAAAUGGAGGAGCAGUGACAUGGAAGAGUUCCAAGCAGGAAACCGUAGCUGAUUCAACGUGCGAAUCAGAGUACAUUGCAGCGAGCGAAGCGUCGAAGGAGGCAAUAUGGCUAAAGAACUUCAUCGGUGAUCUUGGAGUUGUACCUGCCAUAAAGGAGCCCAUGGAGAUUUUCUGUGAUAACGAAGGAGCGGUUGCCUUGACCAAGGAACCGAGGGAUCAUGGUAGAUCAAGACAUAUCGACAGAAAAUAUCACUUCAUUAGACAUCGUGUAGAAGAAGGACAACUCGUAGUGAAGAGGAUAUCAUCAGAAGAUAACCCAGCAGAUCCGCUUACGAAGGGACUGAGUAGGGUUAAGCACUUGCAGCAUGCUAGGAGUAUUGGGCUGAAGGAUGAUAUUAGCAUAGAUUAGAUAGUAUUAGAAACGUGUAAUAGAUAAAUGUAAUUAACAUUUGAUGAUUAAAUAAAGGAGUUUUAUUUAUGAGUAAUGUUACUAUCUUAUGUUAAUUGUUUAACUAUUGUUUCACUUUGCAUGUUUUGACUUCCAGAAUAAUUGAGUUUAUUAGGAAUAAUCGAAUUGUUCAAAUUGUCCACAAUCGUUCAUAUGUUGGAAGUAGAUAUGAAUGAAGAUUGUCAUGAAUUGGUGUGUAGAUUGUCUAAAUGGUGUUAGACAUAGCAAAGGGUUGCUGCAACGUUCAUGAGUGCUUAUGAACUAGUUUUGAGCAUUGGAACAAACCCGCGCUUGCUGGAAUCACCUUAUGGAAUAUGAUAUAAAAGGGUGAUCGCAAGACGAUAAUAUCAUAUAGUCUUAAAACCUAGAUAUAUGGUUUGUUAUUUGUUAAUUGAUUGUACAUUGAUAAUGCGAAAACGCAUCAGUAACUCGGUGUUAUAAAACGUAUUGUUGUGUAUAGUUGGUUAAUGAAUAAGUAAAUGCAUAUAAGUCGAAGUUUAUCUGUAACUUUUAUCUAAGAAGGUAAAAGCGAUAUCUCGGCCGCUCGAUGAUUUGAUUUGACUUAUGUGCCGGGCCCGGUCAGAACUGAAUUGAUGUGUUCGAUUAAGUUCUAUGUCAAAUAAAUCAGAGAUCGAGAAACCUAAAUGCUUGACUAACCAUUCCAUAGGAUUGUCAGCAUGAUAUCUAACAGAGGACUGUACGAUCCCUUAUCUAAAGGACAAGAUUGAUUAGAUCAGAAUUUGACAGCGUCUUUGAGAGCUACGAUUGCAAACCGAAUUGUACUUGUAUAGUUACUAGACUUAUCCAAGUGGGAGACUGUUGGAAUAGUGUCUAAGGCUGCAACUAUAUUAGGCAAGUAUUUGACCCGGUUGUGCAUGGUCCUUUUGGGUUGCCUUCACCAUAGCAACUUGAUAGGAUGAUUUAUUAAGAGAGAGUAAAUAUUAAAGAAUAAUAUAUAGUUAUUUGAUUAAUAUAAGUCAUAGAAUUAAUUGGAAUUAAUUUGGUGACUUAAAGAGAUUAAUUAAAUAAGAGGGUAUAAACUGUCAAUUGUUUGAUAGUUAAACUUUAGACUGUAAAUCCAUAUAGAUAUAUAUUGGACGAAUUCUAGAAGCUAAAGGAUAGCUAAAAUCGUCCAAGGAGUUAUCUAAGGAAUGGAUUUGGAUAGACUUAAGAGAAGAUUAUCCAAUAGGGUUUAGGUUGUAACCCUUAAGGAGUCUACAAGUAUAAAUAGACCCCAUGGGUACGGGAAAUCGGUAUCUCACCUAAAGAAAGAGAACUCUGGCCGAUUUCCUCCCUUCUCCUCUCUCCUAAAUCAUCUUCCUUGCUAUUGGUGUUUGUAAGCCAUUAGAGGAGUGACAUUUGUGACUCUAGAAGCUCCAAGACUACAAGAUCAACAAGGAAUUCAAAGGUAUGGUUCUAGAUCUGUUUCCAUGUUGUUAUUUAACCUAACUAGUCAUUAGAAGUCUUGGAUUCAAAGCAUGUUUAAUUAGAAAGCCUAGAUCCAAGCAUUAGGGUUUUGCAUGCGCACAUAGGAAAGUUCUUAUGGCUAAAACCCAUCACAUGAAACAUACUCGCUUGGAGGCUUGUACAUUGCGCAUACCUGCUUGUACAUUUAGUGUUCAAACUUAAUCAGCCCCAACUUCAUUUUUCCACUUAAUCCAUUAGGACAAAGCUCCACAACACAGAUCUAACCUUCUUGAGUUGGACUAACACAUAAAGUUGCCAACUAUAUGUCUAUACAUGGCUAAAUGAAGCUCUUAAGCUAAAAAGGGACUUAAUGAUUGACUUAGUGCAUACAUGACACCAUAAAACGCAUAAAGCUUGGACCUUUAUGCCCAAGGAUACCAAAAUGAACUUAGAUUUGAAUGGACAAACCCAUAAGCAAACUAACUCAUCCAUAAACCCAAAAAGAAGAAAAAUAAACUAGCCAAGAAGAGAUCUAAUCACACAUAAGUCAAGAUGAAAACUUGUUACCUCAAAAACCUUCCUCAAAUGGUGAUGAUUCUGGAUCCAAGGUCUUUCCACGUAGCCAAACAACUUCAAGUUUCUCUUCUUUCCUUCCCAAGGGAAAAAUGUGCACCAAAAUCAUUCUAAGAGCUCAAUAACACCAUCAAGAGGCUACAAUAUAGAUUUGUGGUUUUUAGUGGGUGGGGGCUGACUUUGAAAUGAACGAAAGAGGCUAACAUUAUGCUUAUAUAUGGUACAACCCUCAAAAUUAGGGUUUUCUCAUAACCCUCAUACGCUGGGCGUACGAGGUCUUGCGCCCCGCUUCCAUGCUCACAAUAUGCUAAGCGUACCUCUCAUUACGCAUGGCGUAGAACCUCUUGUAUCAGUACUGUGACAUCCCCUAAUUUCUCGGCCAGAAAAGACUGAUUUAAUUGAUGCUUUUUAAAAUAAAAUCAAAGAAAUCUUUUUAAAAGAUGUUGCGGAAUUGGUCCCCAAACAAAAUAUGAUAAAAGUUUAUCAAAACCCUUCAUUAUGAAGGUAUAUGUUUUCCAUAUAUAUAUCAAAACCUCGGGAUGUCAUGUUCCGAUACAGAUUAAAAGCAUAAACAAGACAUUAUAAGCCUUUCAACAGUUAUUUACAACUACUGGCCUAUAAUCCAAAAAUCUCUCGUCGUCCUCCGACUAUGCUCGGGGUCCACUACCUGUAACAUAAAAAGCUGAGUGGGUCAGGCUUGGGAGCCUGGUGAGCAUAUAGGGUUUUCAACCCACAAUAAUAAUAAACUUACUAAGUUCAUCAAUCAACAAUAACCUUGAUUACCCAUUCCCGUUAUCCUCACUUUAUGUCCCUAAACACUUGUGACAAGGGACCUAGCCUAAAGAAUAUCAUCGGGAUGGACACUACUGCUAAGGGGUUUCCUCAGCCAUACAUGUCCUAAAGGCAACCAUGAGGGGGAUGGAGUACAGCGAAUGAACACUCUUAGUUCAUUAACACCUACAGGUUGCGGACCUGCUAAUGUUUCCCACUGGACUGUCUAGAAAGUCCGUGGUCGUCAUCCAAACUCCGCUAGAUGACUGGAUCUCAAAACACAUCGAGGCCUCUCAUCAAUUUUAUUUUAUCACACAUCACAAUCUACCCAUGUUCUACCCAACAUAUUUGUAGAUAAAAAUACUUAUACAGUUUAAAACUUGUAUAAAACAUCAACACAACAAUCACCUCAAAUAAAUAAUUAAUAUAUUUACACAUAGCACGUAUUAUAAGGUAAAUACUUCAUAUCUAUGUGUAAAAUGAAAGUGACUAUACACUCACAUGAUUUGAUGAUAAUCGGGCAGCAAUUCGUUUCCUAAAACGAUCGUUUCUAAUAAAACCGGGAGUUUUAUUGAGAAACCGGGCUUUGUAAAAGUCGGGCUUCGAAACCGAAAAGAUAAAUUUUCCGGGCUUCUCGGGCACUUCGUGGGGUAUUCCGGGCUUUACAAUCGAUACCGGGGCUUUGCGGGAUGUUAAUAUGAAGAAAAUAUGGGUUUAGGGGCUAAAUAUGGCAAAAUUCCAAAAAUACCCGGGAGGUCUCGCACCCUCCUAUUUAUAGGGGGAAGCUUCUGAUCGGACGGUCAGGAGUCUUCUGAUCCGACGGCUGAGAAGGCUCGCAGAGGGGGAGGCUCGCAUGAGGGCUGCGCGUGCGAAGGGCUCUCUGGCGGCUUGUGAUUGGACCGAGGUCUAGGGUCCGAAGUAGGGGGUUCGUGGCGCCUGCGAGGGUUCGGACUCAUGAGUCACUACACACGCGUCGGAUGCGAGGCUCGCCACCGAGGCUUCUACGUGUAGUCAGCGGAUUGGACCGCAGCUCGGACUCGGAAGGACAUGACACGCCUCGCCAGGUGGCUUCGUGACUCAGCAGCCUGGUGACUCAGCAGCUUCGGUGACUCAGCAGCACACGUGUCACAUGCGAGGCGAGGGUGACGUGGCAAAGUGUGACUAUGCGAAAUUUCUCGGUUUUCGCGCCAAAACUUCUAAAAUCCAUAACUUUCGCAUACGAGCUCCGUUUUUGACGUUCUUUAUAUGCACGCGUAGCUAAAAUUACGAUCUACAACUUCCGUUUAGACUUCGUCGGCUAAUUUUGACUUUAAAUUUUAUAUUAUUAUUUUUAACAGACCGGGACAGGAAAUCCGUUAAAAAUUCAUAACUUCUUCAUCCGACGUCCGUUUUCGUCAGACUUUUUACCGUUGUGCUCCUAAUGACGAGACCUUCAAUUCUCGUUUAGGUUGUGUCGGCUAAAAAUCGCUCGAUCUAAAAUUCGAGUUUUUAGCUGUCUACUGCUACGCUGAAACUUCGAAAAAUCAUAACUUCCUCAUACGAAGUCAGAUUUGGGCGUUCUUUUUAUCGAACUUCUCGGUUUAACGAAUACUACAACUUUCGUUUAGAUUACUAAGGCUAAAAAGUAGUUUAUCAAAAACUCACUUUUUACGACAUUCAGCACCGUGCCGGUUUUGUCGCGAAACUUCGACAGGUCAUAACUUCUUCGUUAUAACUCGGAUUUUGGUAUUCUUUAUAUCCCCGAAAUCCUUGUUUCGACCACUACAACUUUAUGUAAAGAUAUCGGGCUUAUCUCACACUUUAAUUUUGACGCUUAUUUUUAUUCUUAAUUAAUUAAGCCCUAAUAAUUAAGCAUAAAACACAUAAUUCACAUAAUAUUCACAUAAUUCCUUUUCAUUUCUUCAAAAUGAGUUACAAAGGUUAACCUAGACUAUCAACUCAAUAUAAAUGCCUAGGCUAGAAACACGAGUGUUACAAUUCUCUCCCCCUUAGGAUGAUUCCGUCCCCGGAAUCAUAUAUCACCAAACAAAUGCGGGUAGCGACUCAUCAUGUCACUCUCCGUUUCCCAAGUGAGUUUUGGUCCAUUCGUAUGUUUCCAGCGCACAAGCACUAAAUCGAUCAUUUGCAUCGUAACUUCAUAGUCUUACGGUCAACGAUUGCCUCAGGUUCUUCGAUCAACCUCUUGUUUUCAUCCAACCUUAACUCAGAAAUCGGAAUUAUGUCGGGCACAUCUCCUGUGAACUUUCUCAAAUAACACACAUGAAAGGUGUUAUGAAUACCCUCUAGUUCUUCCGGUAACUCUAGCUUGUAAGCUUGAUUCCCGAUUCUCUGAAGAACUUUAAAUGGUCCAAUAAACCUUGGACUCAACUUCCCUCUCUUACCAAAUCUUAUAAGUCCCUUCCACGGCGAGACUUUAAGUAAAACCGAAUCUCCAACAUCGAAGGAUAUCGGUUGUCUUUUCUUGUCAGCAUAACUCUUUUGUCGAUCUUGAGCAGCUAACAUCCUUUCCCUUAUCACUUUCAACUUUUCAGCAGUCUCAUGGACUAUUUCAGGUCCCAUAAACUGCUUUUCCCCAGCUUCCAGCCAACAUGAUGGCGUUCGACACUUUUCCCCAUAUAAAGCGUGAUAAGGUGCCAUCUUAAUGCUUGACUGGAAACUGUUAUUAUAGGAGAAUUCUACUAAAUGUAAGUGUUCAUCCCAGUUACCUUGGAAUUCUAGGGUACAUUCUCUCAGCAUGUCCUCCAAUGUUUGUAUCGUUCGCUCGCUCUGACCAUCGGUUUGCGGAUGGUAAGCUGUACUCAAACAUAACUUGGUACCCAAUUCUUCUUCUAGACUCCUCCAAAAUCUCGAGGUAAAACGGCUAUCACGAUCGGACACAAUCGUUAACAGAACACCGUGAAGCCUCACAAUUUCCUUCACGUAAGAAUUCGCAAGUUUAUCCAUAGACCAUUUCUCUUUGGCCGCUAUGAAAUGCGCACUCUUAGUGAAGCGAUCAACGACCACCCAAAUCAUGUCGUGACCGUUCCUUGUUCUGGGCAGUUUAGUCACAAAAUCCAUGGUGAUGUCUUCCCAUUUACCCAUGGGUACGGGUAAAGGUUCUAAACUCCCAUACGGUUUCUGAUGUUGUGCCUUAACCCUAGCACAAGUUACACACUCGGCCACAUACUUAGCAACAUCGAGCUUCAUCGUCGGCCACCAAUAAUAGGGUUUUAGAUCCCUAUACAUUUUCGUACUGCCGGGAUGAAUUGAGUACAUGGUCUUGUGAGCUUCUUCCAUCAGAAGAUCUCUUAUUCCGCCCGUCUUAGGUACCCAAAUUCUAUCUUGAAAUACCUUCAACCCUUGGUNCACCCAAAUUCUAUCUUGGAAUUCCUUCAACCCUUGGUUGUUUGUACCGAACACUAAUGUUUUGCCCAAACGUUCUUCCUUUCGGUCAUUUUUCUCUAAAGCUUCCUCUUGAGCUUUCUUUAUACUUUCCACAAUUGUCGAGACAACUUUAAUUCUCAACGCUCUUGGCCUUUUUCUUUUCAAGGUUUACCUUCCGACUAAGAGCAUCAGUAACCACAUUUGCUUUACCAGGGUGGUAAAGUAUCUCACAGUCGUAGUCCGUGAGUAACUCUAGCCAGCAUCAUUACCUCAUGUUCAAUUCCUUCUGAUUAAAGAGAUAUUGGAGACUCUUAUGAUUAGUGAAAAGUUUACACUUUGUGCCAUAAAGAUAAUGCCUCCAUAUCUUUAAGGCAAAUACUACCGCUGCCAACUCCAGGUCAUGAGUGGGUAGUUCUUUUCAUGUUCCUUCAAUUUCCUCGAUGCAUACACUAUCACUUUAUCCCUUUGGGUCAGAACACAACCUAACCCAACUCCAGAUGCAUCGCUAUAAAAUGCAAAGUCAUCAAAUCUUUCAGGAAACGAAAGAAUCGGUGCUUCACACAAUCUCUUCUUCAACUUCUCAAAGGCUUCCUUAUGCUUCUCGUUCCAAGCAUAAGUAGCUCCUUUGUGGGUCAAAGCUGUUAAUGGAGUAGCAAUCGAAGAAAAGCCUUGGAUAAACCUUCGGUAAUAUCCAGCUAAUCCUAAAAAGCUUCGAAUCUCCGUAGGACUUUUUGGUUGUUCCCACUUCAUUACAGCUUCAAUCUUUGCUGGGUCGACCAUUAUUCCUUCUUGGUUAACCACAUGACCUAAAAAUUGGACUUCUUGAAUCCAAAAUUCACACUUGGAGAACUUUGCAUACAGCUUCUCCUUUUUCAGGACAUCUAGCACUUCACGCCGAUGCUUUUCAUGCUCCUGCUUGCUUUUCUAAUAAAUCAAGAUAUCGUCUAUGAAUACUAUCACAGAUUUAUCUAGGAAUGGUUUACAAACCAUAUUCAUCAAAUCCAUGAAAGUUGCUGGGGCAUUGGUUAGUCCGAACGACAUAACCAAAAAUUCAUAGUGUCCAUAUCUCGUUCUAAAAGCAGUCUUUUCGAUAUCCUGCUCUCUCACCUUUAGUUGAUGGUAUCCCGACCUAAGAUCGAUCUUCGAGAAAUAGCUCGAACCCUGCAACUAGUCAUACAAGUCAUCGAUCCUUGGCAACGGCUACUUGUUCUAUAUCGUCACUUUGUUCAGCUCUCUGUAAUCGAUGCACAUUCUCAUGCUUCCGUCUUUUUUCUUUACAAAUAACACAGGGGCUCCCCAGGGUGAUGAACUAGGUCGAAUGAAACCUUUGUCCAAUAACUCCUGAAGUUGUGUCAUAAGUUCUUUCAUUUCGGUUGGCGCUAAUCGAUAAGGUGCUUUUGCUAUCGGCGUCGUUCCUGGUAACAAGUCGAUACGAAAUUCUACUUGUCGAUCAGGGGGCAAUCCGGGAAGAUCUUCGGGAAAGACUUCCGGAUAAUCACACACCACCGGAAUAUUCUGCACCUCCUUCUUUUCCAUCUUGGCAUCGAUCACGAAUGCUAGAUAUGAUGUACAUCCCUUGGCCAAACACUUUCUGGCUUUCAUUAGGGAAAUGAUUCCAGAGUUUACUCUGCGUUUGUCUCCGUACACCAUAAACGACUCUCUCCCUGGUGGGUUUACUUUUACUAUCUUCUUUCUACAUAGUAUUUCUGCAUCGUUGGCGCUAAGCCAAUCCAUUCCUAAAACUAUGUCGAAUCCAUUUAACUCGAUAGGCAAUAAUUCCUCUUGGAACUUAUUCGCAUCGAAGUCAAUGAGGAUGUUUUUCAUACGAUGGCUAACAGGGAAAAACUUUCCACUAGCAAUCUCAACUAAUAAGGCAUUAACUAGCCUAUCUACAUGCAAAGCUAGCUUUCUACCAAAUUCAUGCGACAUAAAGGAGUAAUUGGCUCCAGAAUCAAACAAAAUUUGUGUAGGCAAUUCGUUUACGAGAAAGGUACCUGAAGCGACAUCGGCUUCUUCUUUCGCAGCUUCGAGGGUCAUCUGAAAGGCUCUCGCCUUCGGCUUUGGUGGUAGAUUGGGUUUUGCUGCGUCCUUCUUCUUCGGGCAGUCCCUCAAAAUAUGCCCUUCUUCAUUGCACCCAAAACAUACGUUCUUAUUGAAGGUGCAUUCAUUGGCAUAAUGCCCUGGCUUUCCACAUUUGUAACAAGUGACUUCCACNUCACCUCCGCACUACAUCUCCCAGAGUGCUUUCUCUUGCACUUCUCACACCAUUUCACUGCACCUCCUCCUCCUACAAACUUCUUGGACUUAGAAAAUUUGCUUUUCUUGUUGGAACCCGAAGUUCCUUCAAAUUUUCUCUUUUCACCAACUUCUGCCCUCUCUAGACCCUUCUCUUUGAUCUGAACCUCGACAUUCUUCACAGCCUAGAUGGCGGCUUUCAAAGUGGUUGCUUGCUUAACCAUCGGACCAAAGUCCGCUGGUAAUUCGAGGGCAAACUUGUUGACCUUAGAGAGGUCAGAUGGAACUAGAUGAGGAACUAGCUUCAUCUUUUCCAUAAAACUAGCAUCGUAUUCAGUAACACUCAUCUUUCCUUUCUUUAAAUUCUGGAACUCAUUGUUGAUUUCCAGAAGAUCCUGAUCAGAGCAGUACUGCAAUUUCAGUUGUACCACAAAUUCUUCCCAAGACAUCUUACUAGCUUCACCCUUGGGCUUCGAAUCAGCUAGUAACUUCCACCAGCUCAACACACCAGACUUGAACAGAGGAAUCGCAAGUGCGGUCUAUUGUUUCUUGCUGCACUCGCAACUUUCAAACAUCUUCUCCAUUUCGGAGAUCCAAUUCAUGACUUCCACCGGUGUCGGACUUCCAGAUAGACACGGCGGUUUAGAUGCCAUGAAAUCUUUGUAUUUUCAUCCGCGUCCAUCAACUCCUCCAUCCUGGUUGUUUUGUCUAACUAUCGGUGGGUUGGCUUGACCAAGAGUCCCACUGUAGUUCCCUCCUACUGAUUGCCCUUCAUUCAAUACGGGCUGUUCAACAGGCAUCGUAGUCUCUUCCCUAUGUUGUUGUAGUAAUCGCCUUGUCUCCUCCAUUUGGCGAUCUAACAUCAUUUGCAUCAUUGCUUGUACCCCAGCCAUCGUCAUUGGCUCAGGUGUAGCUCCUACAACAGGCACUUGCUCAACUACUUGAGGUUAAGGCUGUUGAUCCCUAUUUCCGUUUGCAUUUGCAGCUCCACUAUGAGUUCUGCUCAUUACAAUCUAUAUAACGAAUAAGGCGAAUUUAGGUCUUUAUCCUUGUUAGACAUGUCAAUUCCCUUAUCACUCCGAAAUGUUUACAUGAUAGUUCUAAUCUCGUAAUCAUACGCUUAGAAUCCUACACACAUAAGGUUUCCAGAUCCGGUCGGCAACAGACCAUAGAUCCGAACAAAUAAUGGCACACAUGGCAAACACAUAGCAUUUAGCACAUAAGGGCAUUUUAGGCAUCUUCCCUAAAAUAAACUAGUGCUCGUGUCUAAAAUAUGGUAGACACUCAUCUCACAAUCAUCACUUAGCAUUCUAAGUUCAAGUCUAGAAAUUCUACAAUUUCUUAGUUCGCUUAAACUAAUGCUCUGAUACCAACUGUGACAUCCCCUAAUUUCUCGGCCAGAAAAUACCGAUUUAAUUUAUGCUUUUUAAAAUAAAAUCAAAGAAAUCUUUUUAAAAGAUGUUGCGGAAUUGGUCCCCAAACAAAAUAUGAUAAAAGUUUAUCAAAACCCUUCAUUAAGAAGGUAUAUGUUUUCCAUAUAUAUAUCAAAACCUCGGGAUGUCAUGUUCCGAUACAGAUCAAAAGCAUAAACAAGACAUUAUAAGCCUUUCAACAGUUAUUUACAACUACUGGCCUAUAAUCCAAAAAUCUCUCGUCGUCCUCCGACUAUGCUCGGGGUCCACUACCUGUAACAUAAAAAGCUGAGUGGGUCAGGCUUGGGAGCCUGGUGAGCAUAUAGGGUUUUCAACCCACAAUAAUAAUAAACUUACUAAGUUCAUCAAUCAACAAUAACCCUGAUUACCCGUUCCCGUUAUCCUCACUUUAUGUCCCUAAACACUUGUCACAAGGGACCUAGCCUAAAGAAUAUCAUCGGGAUGGACACUACUGCUAAGGGGUUUCCUCAGCCAUACAUGUCCUAAAGGCAACCAUGAGGGGGAUGGAGUACAGCGAAUGAACACUCUUAGUUCAUUAACACCUACAGGUUGCGGACCUGCUAAUGUUUCCCACUGGACUGUCUAGAAAGUCCGUGGUCGUCAUCCAAACUCCGCUAGAUGACUGGAUCUCAAAACACAUCGAGGCCUCUCAUCAAUUUUAUUUUAUCACACAUCACAAUCUACCCAUGUUCUACCCAACAUAUUUGUAGAUAAAAAUACUUAUACAGUUUAAAACUUGUAUAAAACAUCAACACAACAAUCACCUCAAAUAAAUAAUUAAUAUAUUUACACAUAGCACGUAUUAUAAGGUAAAUACUUCAUAUCUAUGUGUAAAAUGAAAGUGACUAUACACUCACAUGAUUUGAUGAUAAUCGGGCAGCAAUUCGUUUCCUAAAACGAUCGUUUCUAAUAAAACCGGGAGUUUUAUUGAGAAACCGGGCUUUGUAAAAGUCGGGCUUCGAAACCGAAAAGAUAAAUUUUCCGGGCUUCUCGGGCACUUCGUGGGGUAUUCCGGGCUUUACAAUCGAUACCGGGGCUUUGCGGGAUGUUAAUAUGAAGAAAAUAUGGGUUUAGGGGCUAAAUAUGGCAAAAUUCCAAAAAUACCCGGGAGGUCUCGCACCCUCCUAUUUAUAGGGGGAAGCUUCUGAUCGGACGGUCAGGAGUCUUCUGAUCCGACGGCUGAGAAGGCUCGCAGAGGGGGAGGCUCGCAUGAGGGCUGCGCGUGCGAAGGGCUCUCUGGCGGCUUGUGAUUGGACCGAGGUCUAGGGUCCGAAGUAGGGGGUUCGUGGCGCCUGCGAGGGUUCGGACUCAUGAGUCACUACACACGCGUCGGAUGCGAGGCUCGCCACCGAGGCUUCUACGUGUAGUCAGCGGAUUGGACCGCAGCUCGGACUCGGAAGGACAUGACACGCCUCGCCAGGUGGCUUCGUUGACUCAGCAGGUUCCGGAUACGUGGCACAUGCGAAGCGAGGACACGUGGCACUUCCGGGUGAAGCCUAUUUAUGCGAAAUUUCUCGAAUUUUGUGCCAAAAUCUUCUAAAAUUCAUAACUUUCGCAUACGAGCUCCGUUUUUGACGUUCUUUAUAUGCACGCGUAGCUAAAAUUACGAUCUACAACUUCCGUUUAGACUUCGUCGGCUAAUUUUGACUUUAAAUUUUAUAUUAUUAUUUUUAACAGACCGGGACAGGAAAUCCGUUAAAAAUUCAUAACUUCUUCAUCCGACGUCCGUUUUCGUCAGACUUUUUACCGUUGUGCUCCUAAUGACGAGACCUUCGAUUCUCAUUUAGGUUGUGUCGGCUAAAAGUCACUCGAUCUAAAAUUCGAGUUUUUAGCUGUCUACUGCUAAGUUGAAACUUCGAAAAAUCAUAACUUCCUCAUACGAAUUAAGAUUUGGGCGUUCUUUUUCUCAAACUUCUCGGUUUAACGAAUACUACGAAUUUCGUUUAGAUCACUAAGGCUAAAAAGUAGUUUAUCGAAAACCCACUUUUUACGACAUUCAGCACCGUGCCGGUUUUGUCGCGAAACUUCGACAUGUCAUAACUUCUUCGUUAUAACUCGGAUUUUGGUAUUCUUUAUAUCCCCGAAAUCCUUGUUUCGACCACUACAACUUUAUGUAAAGAUAUCGGGCUUAUCUUACACUUUAAUUUUGAUUCUUAUUUUUAUUUUUAAUUAAUUAAGCCCUAAUAAUUAAGCAUAAAACACAUAAUUCCUUUUCAUUUCUUCAAAAUGAGUUACAAAGGUUAACCUAGACUAUCAUCUCAAUAUGCCUAGGCUAGAAACAAGAGUGUUACAAGUACACCCCUCGUACACCUUUGGUAUGCCCCAUGUACACCUUUUGUAUCCCCCGCGUACUAGGGUUUUCCCCAAACAUUAAUUUAGUUCGAAGGCCAAAACUUUCUCGAUAUAACUCUGAUUUUGACCAUCUUUAUAUCCAUGAAAAUAUAUCACAAUGCUAUACACUAUUAUUAACUCAUACUUUCCAUAAGAUACCCUGAACGAACCUACACUUUCCAUAAAAUCCCAAGCUGACAAAUUACCUAAAUGCCCUUUGAAUCUAAAACACAAAUCGAAUACCCGAAAUAUCCAAAUUACAUUAUCGAAAUCCAACUAGGUCCAAUACUUAAUUCCUCAAGGAUCCGAAGCCUACUAAUACCCAAUCCCUGAUCACCAUCCACAUGGGAACAAUUCAAAACAACGCCUUACAACUCCCCCCCCCCCCCCCUUGAAUUAGAUUUCGUCCUCGAAAUCCUUCCAUGCCAUCUCUGAUACGACCUACAAUUUAGUAACACGACCACAACCUUAAGCAUACUCCUGCCUUCCCAAGGCAACUAAAACCGACCCUCGCAUGGCUCUACGAACCUGAAGAAGAACGAGCCUUAAACCCUUGCAGAAAACCACCUCUACAUUUCACAAAACCCGAAACCUCAAAUUGAUAUGACUUCCCGACUGACUGCCCAUACUGAAGCACUAUCAUACCAUUUCCUCAUGAAUACCAGACUAAACAAAAUACUUCCAACCCUGAUUAUCUUGAUGCUUCCAUAGGAACAAAAUUACUAAUCAUGAACAACAGCAGAACACUACACUUAACAGAAGGCUUAGAGAAUCCUUCGAGUAGAAGAUUUCUCCCUGUAACGGUUAGAUUCAUACAAGAGUUGUGCAACCGGGUCCAAUCAACCACUUUGAGAUUAUUUAAUCCCACUGCGAGUGACUUAGCAUAUGCCUCGAAUCACAAGCGACUCUACAUACGAAUCAUAAAUCACUAAAACCAUUCUGAAUCAUCUUGCUGCCAUCUAGGUGCUUUCCAAAAGAAGCCGAGACCUCCCUGGUCCCAACUUGUCCGCCAACUACCCGAUACACUGGACUCUUACCCGAUUUCUGAGCCAAAAGACACACACAUAUUAGCCCCACGCGACUCCCAAGAGAAACCUUAUCCGACGAUAAUAUCCCAAACCACCUCGUCACCAAACCUACUGCUAAAAGAAUGCUACAAGACCGACUGUAGUCUCAUAUCAUACCCAGUCUCCAAUAACCUACCUUCUCCUGAUUCCAAACAUGAUGUGGCCCUCCCACAGAUAGAACCAACCCAAGACAAAACACAAUGGCUCGAUUUGCCAUCAAAACUAAACCCAUUCAUUACCCUUGAACCCUGCGAUUGAUGCUCUUGUUAUAUAGAUACCCUAAUUCUUAUUCCACUGGAACAAAAGUCCUGCACAAAACACACGCGAUACCUGACUCGAGAUCUUACCCAAAACCAAUUUAACACUCCACUCAUUACCCGAGAUCCACGAAUCUGCACUUAGAUUUCACACCACAACCUUUUGAUUCCCGACAACCCCUCACCUGACUGAUAAAUAAAUACUCCCAAACCAUCUUUGAGACUACCAAUCACGCACCUGGUCCAACCACUAGGUUCCCAAGAGUCCAAAAAGCAAGGCUACCCAGCCUAAAAACCCCUCUGCGUCACACACUGACCAUCCACAUGAUCCUGCAACUCAAGAUCCAAUACCUUAACCCAACGGUCUCUCCCAAGUCCAACCUAAAUUUCCAUAAUCACAUAAGCCUCGCCCACGGGCACCUCCCAUUAAGAGCCACUCAGGAUCGGCUCCACCUCGGACCCCAAUGGUCCUCAAACUAGAACAUAGAAUAAUUCCCCAAUCAUCCUGGCCGGUGUGCCCAACACACGAAUUGAUUCUUCUUCCAUGCUUGUGACCAUCUCGAUAAUAGUUUACCUUAAACUGAUGAAUGCUAUGAUCCCAUUAAAGUCUUAGAACACUUCGAACCAACCAUUGUUACCACCCAUGGCCUUACCAAACUCAAAUAAUCACAAUACUGUGCAUCUUGAGCCGAAUCCUGCAACCAAUCAUGAGUUCAGGUCAUGUAUUCAAAUCCCACAACCUACUAUGAAUAAUAAUAGAGAUGCCGACCUGCAGUCAGGAGUUUCCUGAACUCCCACCGACACAACCUAAAUCUGAACAACCACUUAAUUCUCCCCCACUUGGGCUCGACAAAGGUCUCUCACUUGUUAAUCCUUAUAGAUCUAUGACCCAUCUCCCUCAAAUAGUAUGAACCACCCAUACCCUGUGCUAAACAAUACUAGCGUUCCAUUGCUAGCCAACACUAUGAUCACCCAACUUCUGAAACCCUGAAGGAUACUCUUAAAAUCUUAACCAAACUGAUUCCAGAUCGCCUCCCAUGACACUAUUCCUGAGUUCUUAUGCUGGGGAUUAAAACUCUAACCCUUGCCCUGAACCGACGAAUCUUUAUCUUAGUUUCCAUUCUCAAAGAAUUAUUGAAUUCAAACUAAAUUAGACCUCGAAGAAUAUAAAACUCCCCUAACAUUUUCGAUAACCAAAACUACUCAUGCAACUAACACUACCAUCUUGCUACUACCGCUCUCCUCCUAGAAACAACAGUACUUUAACCCAACAAUUCUUCCAUAUGCAACUGCCGCUCUUACCGGAAAAAAUAUUAAAACCGCUGAACCCUGACGAUUACUGGAGAAUGCAAUCGCUGAAUCCCAACCAUAGACAUUCAAUAAAAUACCCCUGAACCGAUCUUGGCCAAAACCAGAAUAAUAAUGAAACACAUUGGAACCCGCUACAUGGGAUACUACACCUUAAUAACCCACUAACGAUUCAUGGCAUGCAAAAGACAUAAAACAAUUCCUGAAGAUAUAACCCAACGAUAACAAAACAAUACACUGAAGACAAUGCUUCCCCAAAUUAAUACAAAAUUCCAAGCAACAUCAAAACUGGUAACAAUCAAAAAGAACACAAAAGAUAACAUGCCCACAAAAGUACCUACCAGAGCAUGACAUCCCCUGACUGCCACUGCAAUUACCGGCUCCUGCCCUAACCCUCACUAAUCUUAGAGAUCCGCAAGGUAGCCAGAGCAGGUGCACUCACUGAUCCUCCCCUCCUCAUCGGACAUACGACCCUCUUGUGGCCCACUUGGUUGCAGAGAAAACAUAACAGGCUUCCCCCUGAGGACAAUCCCUGCUGAAAUGAUCUAUCCUGAUACACUCGCAGCAACCCAUACCUUAGGAACGACAAGCUCCAUCGUGCAGUUUCUCGCACGUGCUUCAAUGACUCCGACCCUGUUGGCCUCUCAAACACCGAUCAGAAGUCUUAGGUCUCUUCCCGGGACCCUCCACCACAUGCACCUGAUCUGGCCCCCUCAUUCCCAGGUGCUCCAAAUCAAUCUCCCACUCACUGAAUGAUAGCGUGCGAGCUCCAACAAUAGCCAUAACCUCAGCAUGGUUUGCACCCAAUCACUCAUCCAAGAUCUCUAAGAUCCCCUCCUUGACUGCAUAAAAAAUCACAGGAGUUUGCUCCAAAAUACUAUGGGUAAUCUCUGACAAGAUGAAUUCCCGAAUCUGCUCGCUAAUCGGCUCAGUAGCUACACUUGAGCCGGAACCAGAACCAGAACCUCCUUCAUGAGUGCUCCUCACCAAACUGAAAUACCACAAGCCAAUGAUCAUAACAUACCCAUGAAUCCUCUUCUACAGGAUCCUUAGAUUCUCCAAGACUCUCCCCAGUUUGAGGAUGGAUCCUGUGCUUUCAGUAGUACGGGCCCGAUACUACCUUCCACACCUAUCCAUACUUUCCUCAAGAAUCAUCCCGAAUCCUCUAAGUCACCUUCCCAAACUGAUGCACCAAAGCUCACUAAACAGCAUGACUACAACCGUCGUGGCACUCGCUAGACUCACCUAGGUUCCCGACCUCACUCUGCCAUCAGUUGCUGAAGAAGUCCCCAUAAUGCCAGUCAUCCACCUCAUGAAUACCAUCAUAUUCACUUAGUAGCUCACUCCCAUCAUCUAAGAGUUCCAUAAAGCUGAAAGAAAGCAGCAUUCGUGCAGUAACACUCCAAUCCAUAGAACUAUCAUAGAACAUUCAACCCACAAACCACCAGUUAUGCUAGAAAUUCCACCCUUACUACUAGUUUUCUUAUGCAUGCAAAUUAUACACAAAACAUGAUCAAAUAGACUGUCGAAUAACAAACUCUACCCGAGAACCACAACCGGACAAGGAACAUGAAAUAACGUCAAAUCAAUUAUUCUAUGGCUAUAAGAUCUUAACCGUAUACAAUUUUUAAAGCAUGCACAUAGCAAUUACUGAUUCCAAUAAAUAUCCCCAUCUCAACAUAUCAUCCAAUACACCAUAUGCAACAAGGUAUCACAUAUGAGGCCAAACUACUACUAACUAAUCAACACUAGCAUGCAAGUCUACUAGCUUAUAUGAUAUACAAACAAAGUCAUUUCUUCUAACAGUCUAUCAUGCAAGAACUGAGCAGAUCCUUAGCCCUAACUAACAUUGUCACACCCCAAAACCAAGAACGGCGGAAACGUUCUGGGGCGGAGGACGUCAUGUAUAAUAUCACAACAAUGUAAAGUAGUAAACCAGCAACAACAUCAUCCAUUGCAUUAAUAAUAUAAUUAUUAUACAAAUGUGUUCUGUCAAAUUUUGAUAAACACUAAAGCAUACAUCAAAAUGAAAGAUAAGUCUUGAACAAGCUCCAUCUUCCUUUCUCCUUGCAUCGGUACCUGUCUAUGAUGACAUGAGGAUACAAGUAAUUUUGAAAGCGAGUAUUAGCUUUGAAGCUGGUGAGAUCAUAAGUAUUUAGUGUCUUAAUUUGUAAGUAAGUAUUUGUAUGUAAGAAUUUGUAGGUAUAUGAAUUGUAAGUAUUGAAAGUGUAUAUGAACUGUAAGUGUUUGAAAAACCCUAGAAAUCCCUAUGAUUCCUACUAGUAUAUGAAGGUGUCUUCUACCAAGACCUAACUGUUCUGAAUGUGUGUCUCUUGUAAGAGUAUGUAUUUUCCCAAGUAUAACUACCAUUAUCCAAAAAUAUAGUUUCUACAUUACCGUGCGUCGUGUGAAUGUUCACGAAGUGAAUGUAAUGGGAAAAUGAAAUAGUACUAUGGUGUAGUGCUAUAAGAACUACUGCCGUACUAAUUACAUUAAACUGGAUUUAUAUUAAGGCAUUAUGUGAUAAAUUGCACCAUACUAAAGACUGGUAACAACGACAACGUAUAGUCGAAAAUAAGGUAUGGCGUUUGGCACCCGCAGACCUGCAGGUCCCGCUGUAGCUAGCAGCAAGGUGUAGGAUUGUCAAUCCAGUAUAGAUCUAUACACAAACUCACGCUCUCCCUCCAAGAGACUCUGGCUACAACUCGGGCCAUGACAUUUAAGUCAUGCUCCGAUUUAAAUCAAAAUAAUUAACGUAUUCUUGUAUAUGUAAUGUAAUGAACUGUUCUAGCUGUAAUGUACGUGCUCUCUACCUAGCAAGUAUAGUAAUGUAAUCAUUCUAGUAUAGUUGUAUAUGUUCUCUUCCUAGUAUAGUUGUAUAUGUAAUGUACUGUAAUGUUCUAGAAAGUAUUGACUCAUGAAUGAACUGACUCAUUGUAUGAUAUCGCGUUCUAGUAAUUGUUCUAGUAUCUUCCUAAACUACCCAUAUGGUAGUUUACUAGUAAUCUAACUGGUACGUAUGGACAUGGAUGUAUACCCUUGCUACCCAAGGGCAUGGGAUGAACUGGAAGGACCUUUUAUGACUAUAUAUGUACACAUGAUAUAUAACUAAUAUUUAAACGACCUUCGGACGAGUACCCGAUAUCCCACCAGACCACAUCUCAAGCGCGAAAAGGAAAUAGGGUGGAUAGCCUUCCUAAGUCUUUUAAACAUUUCUUAUAUAACUAUACAUAUAAAGGCAUGCAAUUUAUAAUAUAAAAGCAUAAAUAAGUUUUGUAAAACAUUUGAACAUAAUUAUUAUCUUAAGAAAAGAUCGACUUGAUGUCAAUCUAUAAAACAGUUUGAAGGCAUAAGUUUGAUAAAACAGUUUAAGUAUAAAGAAACAUUUGUUUGAAACACAAUUGUAAAUAAGUUUGAAAUGUAAUAUACAGAGUAAAAUGUACAGUGUAAUAAGGAGUUUAAAACAUAUAAAAUGUUUAUAAAAAUCAUUUGAAGGAAAUUGUUUGGUAAAACGGCUAAUGAGUAGCCAAAUCAUUUGAAUGCUGUAUAUUAAUCACCUGUGAUUGAUGUAAUAAGUAGCAUAAUUCUACUUACUAAUCAUAUGUGAUUGACAUAAUAAGUAGCAUGAUUCUACUUGUAUCCCCCCCCAUAAAAUAUUUAAAAAUAGUUUAAAACAUUAGUUAAGGGGUAUGAACUCACCUGCAGUAAGUGACUGGACUUGAACGGAUUGUUAUCGUAAGGAAGGAUCGGACAAGUGCUUGGCGUCAAGUGAAGUCUUUAGACACACACAAUGAUCCUAAUUACAUAUGAAGACAUAUGUAUAUAAAUAAUUAGUGAUUAAAACACUAAUUAUACAAGUGUAGACAUUUAAACGCGAGGAAAACACUUUUGGUCAAGUGCUAGGAGGCUAAUGGGUUAAAACAAAGGAGUGCAAUGCCCCUAAUGGGAGUUUAUGGUCAAAUGACCAUAUGUAUUGGACUUUACGACCCAGGGGAGUAAACUCCUAGCCGUAAACUCUCAACAAAGCCCCUAAAUGAAGUCUAACAAUUAUACAACUCAUGUGGUGAAUUGUUUCAAGGCUAAGUCAAGUGUUUGGGUGCCAUAUUAACUCCUUUAAGGAGUUUACGGCCUUGGGACCAUAUUCCCUUGGAGUUUACGGCCAUAAACUCCCUUGGGAGGGUGGUUAUGGUGUUUUCAAGUCUCAAACAUUUCUAGGUAAUGAUGUAUCUUGGGUUCUAGGCAUAAGGAAGGAGUUAGGGUGUCAUUUGACCCCUUUAUAGGUGUUUACGGCCCAAGAGUUUGUCUUGGCCGUAAACUCCUUUUUCCUUGUGAUUCCUUAUGUUUUCUAGGCUUUAAACACUUUAGGGUACUUGUCCUAAUUUAUGUCUAAGCUUUAGGAGGUGUUUCAAAGCAUUUUGGCAUGUUCAAGGGAGUUUACGGCCUAAGCUAUUCUUGGGCCGUGAACUCCCAAAAUUGGGUGAUUCUAGGUUGAUUUCAUGUCCCUAAUGCACCCCUAUACAAGUCCAAGGCAGUAGUACAUCACGGGGGACAAUCUAGGCUUGGUUUCGGGAGUUUACCGCCCAAGAACACCUUGGGGAGUAAACUCCUAAAUCGGAUGAUUUAGCUAUGCAAUCUAUGUUAUGAACACAUUUAAAGCUUUCUAACACUACUAGAAAGAGUUACUCACAAUUUGGGAUAAAACCCGAAGAUCCGUGAGGGAGAAUUUUGACUUUUCUCUAAAUGGAAUUCAACAAAUGAACCAAUUUGGCUCGGAAUUCUAUUUAUAGUCCUGAGAUAUUUUUGGCAGAAAAUAUUUUUAUUCCUGGAACGAACUCUAAUGUCCUAGAGUAUUGGAAAAACAGUGUUGCACACACUUACACUCGAAGUCUGAAUUUUCACUGAACUGUUCUACUUCUAUUGGCUUGAUAUGGUUUGUUCAGAAUGGGAAUUUUGGGUUGUCACAAACAUGCAAUUCACAGAUUCAUAAAUAAAAUUAUAACAGAUAACAUGUAUGGGUAUUUUGGGAAAACUUACUUGACCUAAGUUGAUUGCAUGCACAACACCCUUCUCUUAACUUAGAAAACUCUUUUCUUGAAAAUACUUUUAUUUUGAAAUCUUUACCAAUCCUCAGUUUGAGUUCAGACACACCCGAAAGUAUGUCCGAAUCCCUCAAACCAAAGCUCUGAUACCAACUUGUAACGUCCCGAAAAUCAUGACAUAAAUUUAUUUGUUUUUUAGAUUAAUCAAUCAUUAAUAUAUAUCUUUCCCAUAAAACCAGAGUAACUAAGUUUUAGCAAAACAUCGACAAAUUAGAUUUAUUCACAGAAGGCGGAAAAAUGCGGUGUAUGCUCUGCAAUCAUCCUGAGCCCUUCCAUUUGAAAACCGGAGUACCUGAAAUAUAAACUGAAAACCAUCAACACAAAGCUUAGUGAGUUUCCAAAAAUACCAUACAACAUACAAUCACAUAUUAUCAUGCAACAUACAUAUAGUUGUCAUGGGCUCCCCCAUGGUCUUUAUCUGGUAUGCCAGGGGCUCCCCUUAUGGUCUUUACUUGUAAUGCAAUUUGCUCCAUCCAUGGUCUGAUAUCCAAUUGCCAUGGGCUCCCAUGAGGUCUUCCAUGCAAGUAUCAUAGAGACAUCUAGCAUACCACAUAACACGUAAUGGGCCGACAUUGGUGCCUUGGACCCAUGGAUAUAGUGAGAAGACUCACCUCAGACAGCUGAAUCCCACGUAUACUCUCUGAUUGCAGAUCCGCUAAAAUCCCCACGUUAUCAGAAAAAUAACACCCAAUUAAUAGUUGGGGUCCAAACCUAAUCCAAUAAUCCGUUUAUUGGAUAAAAGACCAUUUUACCUCUCGGUUAGUUUAGUCCAAGACUAAGGGCCUAAACUUCUUAACAUAAAGGCUCACUAACCAAUAAUGAUCUGAAACCCGUUUAUGGCCUAAUUUUCCAAAUUGGGCACAAAACUUUACUUGUCCCAAGUUAUCUCACAACCCACUUCCAAUCUCGCAGUACGCUAAGCAUACCUCUCAUUACGCAUGGUGUAUAACCUCUCACAUUAGUACACCCCGCGUACUAGGGUUUUCCCCAAACCCUAAUUCAUUCCGAAGGCCAUAAGUUUCUCGAUACAACUCGAAUUUCGACCAUCCUUAUAUCCAUGAAAAGGUAUCGAGACGCUCUACACUAUUAUCAACUCAUACACGCCAUAAGAUAUCCCGAACGAACUUCUACCUUCCAUAAAAUCCUGAGCUAAAAAUUUUCCAAAAUGCCGGCCCUUUGAUUCCAAAACACAAACUGAAUACCCGAAAUAUCCAAAUUACAUUAUCCAACUCCAACUGGGUCCAAAACUCAAUUCCUCAAGGAUCCAAAGCCUGUUAAUACCCAAUCCCUAAUCAGGAUCCCUAACAUGGGAACAAUUCGAAACAAGGUGUUACAAACAUUUGAGGUCCUGUUGGAUUAGUGUCUAAGCCCGUAACUAUAUUUGGUAUGUAUUUGACCCGGUUGUGCAUGGUCCUUUUAGGUUGCCUUCUCCAAAGCAAUUUGAUAACGUAAUUUAAGGAGAAAGAGAGAAUAUUAUGGUUUAUUAAUAUAUUAUAAAAAUAAUAUAUAAAAGGAGAAAUCAUAUUUAUUUGAUUAGUAUUAGUCAUAAAUUAAUUUGGAAUUAAUUUGCUGACUAAAAAAAGACUAAUUAAAUAAAGGGGUAUAAAUUGUCAAAUGCAUGAUAGUUGAGUUUUGGGCUGGAGAACCUAAUGGACUAAGGGGGAACGAAAUUAUGAUGGGGAUCCAUCAUAUUUUCAUCCAAGUGCCCUAAUCUAGAAGGUUCUAUGGGCUGCUUGGUGAUUAAGUUGUCCAUUAGGGUUUAGGCUGAAACCCUUGUAGCUAGCAGUAUAAAUAAGACCCCUAGGCUAUGGAAAUCGGCUACCACUUGAUUCUAAGAGAAACCUAGGCUGAUUUCUAGCAUCUCUCACCCUCUCUCAUAUUGCCUUCUUGCUUUUGGAGUUUGUGAACCAUUAGAGGAGUUACAAUUGUGACUCUAAGCUCAAGAUCAAGAAGAAUACAAGGAUUCAAGCUACUUGAAGGAGGUAAACCACUUAGAUCUGUUUUCUUUAUGAUAAUUUCGAAUUAUAUACGAUAGAUCUAGGUUUGUAAGUCUUGGAUUCAAAGCAUGUAUAAUAGAUAAACCUAGAUCCAAGCUUUAGGGUUUGUAUGAGCACAUAGGAUUGUUCUUAUCCAUAAAACCCAUCAGUGGUAUCAGAGCCAUGAUUGGUUUAAGUUGUAUAUGAUGCUUUAACUGUUUACUUGUUGAAAAUCGUUUUUUGUGCAAUAUGUUUGAUGAACUCGACGAGUUGCAAGAACUCGACGAGUUCCAAUGUGGACUCGACGAGUUCCGACGUCUGACAAAAAGAUUUUUGGGAUUUUGUUGUUGUUUUGACUUGGAUUUGAUGCCUAAAUCGUUUUUCGAAGUUAAAAUACGAAUUUUAUCUUAAUUGAAUGAUUAUCCUUGCCAAAACAAUAGAUAAUUUCAAAUCUUUUGAAUAUUGGUUGUUUAUAUGAUAAAUAUGGAUUAUUUAAAAUUAUUUGGUAAUUAUGUAAUGACUAAAAUAAGAUUAGGUCAAAUAUAGAUAAUUAUGAAAUUAAUUGUUUAAUUUGAAUUAUUUGUUAUUUGAUCCCUAGUGUUUUGAAAAGUUCAAAAACUUUCCCUCAAGUUUUGAAAUUUGAAUUUUGUGAUUAAAAGUUUAAUUUUGAAUAAUUUAAAUUUCAAACCCUUAGAAUUUUAGAAGUUUAAAAUUCAACCCUAUGCUAUUAUAUAUUAUUAAAAAGCUUAAUUUAUAUAUANCACCCACCGCUUACUUGACUGGUGGAGGGUCGUUAUCCGAACAGGUAGGAUAGGGCAACCCUCUCCUCAUUAAAAGUAUAAUGUAAGAUUCAAAUUAACUACAUGUUUUACAAAUUCCCAAUCUUAGUUACUUUAGGGUAAAAUGUGAAAAUGAUGCUAAUCCAUGGAAUUACACAUCGUACCCUUGUCAAAUGUUGAUGGAGCGCGUGUGGUUAACCGACACAUCAAUUUGGGGAUGACAUUGGUAGCGAAGGGUGACUCGAUGUUUGUGAUAGAUCAAUGGAGCCUGUGUGGUUUACCGACAUAUUGAUUAGGUGAUAGAGACAUUAUGUGCAUCAUGUCGAUUCGCAUGGUUAUUCACAAUUUGGUUGCGAUCCUUGGUAUCCCAGUCGCAAAUGUGAAAUGCAUAUCGAGAUUUAAACAUGCCCUUGAAAAUUUCAAUGAAUCUCAAAGAUCUAGGAGUUUUCAAUACAUUUAAAACCUAAAUGUCUUUUUCGUUUUUCAUGGUGAGAAUUAGUGAAUCGUCAUUCACUUACCUUCAAAUUAUUUACUUUUAGAGUACGACAUCCCUUUCUAAGUUGUAAAUAAUGUUGUUGGAUCCUAGCCCUAAUUUCUCAUUUGGGUGUUUAAUUAGGGAUUCAUUUCUAAUCAAACUUUGUUCCUUUCUUUUUCAGAUGUCUGCAAACAAUAACAACAACAACAACAACAACAACAACAAUGCUUCUGGGUCAUUCUCGUUGAUAAACCUGUGUUAGAAAGUGACAUUUGAUGGGUCAAACUUCAACGUGUGGAUGAGGUAUAUUCGCAUGAUCACACGCUACGAGGACGAGGAAUAUGUCCGCGAUGAAAAGCUUGAAAAGAUCAUCCCAGAUGUUGCUACUCCUGAAGAGUUGGCCGGCAUUGAGGACCACGAGCAUGAUGCUAUGAAAGUUGACUGCAUCAUGCUGGCCACCAUGAACCUCAGACUCCAAAAGUCCUACAAGGACAUAUAUGUAUUCGUAUGAAAUGCAUCAGGAUUUGUUGGACAGGUAUCACCAGAGCGCGAGGCAAGAACGCUAUAAGAUCAUUACUAACAUGAUCAGCGCUAAGAUCGGGAGUGGAGAAUCCCUAACCUCUGAUUUGUAGAAAAUGCAGAGGUAUGUUGAUCGUCUUCUCAAACUUAAUGUUAAGUUUGAUGAGGAUUUGGCUAUCGACAUAAUCCUCCACUCCUUGCCCUCCUGCUACAACCAGUUUAGGAUGACCUAUCACAUGAACAAGGAGGAGGUCUCCUUGAGAAAGCUCCAAGGACUUUUGAGGACUGCUGAGAGCAACCUCAAAGACAAAUCCGUUGGACCGUCCCCUGCUGUGUCCACUCCUGUGAUGGCAAUAGGUCAAGGAAAGGGAAAAAAGAGGAAGGCUCCAUGUAAGAGCCACCAAAAGGGGAAGCCCCAUGAUGGUUCAUCCUCAAGUGGGACCAAAGAUGGCCAUGGUAAACCCUCUUUCGAUCCAAAAGAAGCAGAGUGCUUCUAUUACCACCAAAAGGGCCACUGGAAGCGAAGCUGCCCUCAAUAUCUGCAAGAUAUAUGAGAUGGGAAGAUUAAGCCCACAUUUGCAGGUAUGUAUUAUAUUAAAUCUAAUAACUCAUCAUUUUCUACUUCAUGGGUUCAUGACAUAGGGUGUGGUUACCACAUUUGUUCUGAUAUGCAGGGCCUAAAAAGAAGUAGGGAGGUGGAACAUGGAAAGAUGAACCUGAUUAUGGGAAACAGAAGAUCGUCGCCUGUGACCAAAGUCGGUGUUUAUUCUUUAGUGUUAAGUAAUGGGUUAGGGAUAGAUUUAAAUAAUUGUUGUUAUUCGCCAUAUAUGGCAAGAAACAUUAUUUCAUUUCAUGGGUUGUUUAGACAAGGUUGCAGAUAUUCUUUUGAUAAUAGUAAUGGUUAUAUUAAUGUUUAUUUGAAUGGUGUCUUUUAUUUCAAUGCAUUACCUUGUAAUGGGAUUUAUGAAUCUGUGAUGGUUGUUGAUAAUUUAGGAAAUAAUGUUUUGAAUAUUGAUUCGUCUACUAGUCUAGACAAAGCAUGCUUGUGACAUUGUCGCCUUGGCCAUGUCAACAAGAAACGCAUAGCCCAACUCCAAAAGGAUGGAGUGUUGGAGUCAUUCGACCUUAGGGACGAUGACACAUGUGAGUCUUGUUUACUUGGGAAGAUGACCAAGUCACCCUUUACUGGCACUUGUGAAAGGGGUGAGGGUUUAUUGGAUCUCAUACACACCGAUGUGUGUGGGCCCUUUAGAUCCACCACAAGGGAUGCUUGCCGCUUCUACGUGACUUUUACAGAUGAUUAUAGCAGAUAUGGAUAUAUCUACUUGAUCAAGCAAAAGUCGGAAACCUUUGAAAAGUUCAAAGAGUUUAAGAAUGAAGUGGAGAAUCAGCUGGGCAGGAAAAUCAAGAUGCUUCGGUCAGACCGAGGAGGAGAGUACCUAAGUCUUGAGUUUCACGACUAUCUAAAAGAAUGUGGAAUCGUUUCGCAAUUGACGCCUCCGAGAACGCCACAAUUGAAUGGUGUGGCUGAGAGACGUAAUCGGACCUUGUUGGACAUGGUUCGUUCUAUGAUGAGUCAGGCUUCAUUACCAAUAGGUUUCUGGGGGUAUGCCUUAGAGACUAUCGCCCAUAUCCUUAACUUAGUUCCCACCAAGAAGGUUACCAAGACUCCUCACGAGACGUGGAUAGGGAAGGCUCCCUCUUAAGGUUUGGGGUUGCGAGGCUUUCAUAAGACGAGAGACUCACGACAAGCUCGAACCUCAUAGUGAGAAGUGUUAUUUCAUCGGCUAUCCGCAGAAGUAUUUUGGCUAUCAUUUCUAUAGACCGAAUGACAAUGCUGUCUUCGUUGCUAGAAGAGGAGUUUUCUGAGAAAGGGAAUUGAUAAGCCAAGAAGAUAGUGGGAGGCAAAUUGAACUUGAAGAGAUUCAAGAUCAAAGCGAUGAAGGAACCUCUGACACUGGCACUCAACUUGAGGAGGAAACUCCUGUUGAACCUAUUGACGAGUCCCUACCUCUUCGACGUUCCACUAGGGCUAGUGUUCCACCCCAGUUUUAUGGUUUUCAUAUUACUACUGAAGGGGAUACAUUUAUUAGUGAUAGUACACUAGUAAAUUUGGAUGAACCUAGCAGCUAUAAGGAAGCCAUGGCAGGCCCGGAGUCUGCGAAAUGGAAAGAGGCUAUGGACAGCGAGAUUCAGUCCAUGUACGACAACCAAGUUUGGAAUUUGGUUGAUAAUGUACCGGGUCGUAAGACAGUCGGGUGCAAGUGGAUCUUCAAGAAGAAGACGGACAUGGAUGGGAAAGUGCAUACUUAUAAAGCGCGAUUGGUUGCGAAGGGUUUUACUCAAACUCCCGGAGUUGAUUAUGAUGAGACCUUCUCGCCAGUUGCGAAGAUAAAGUCUAUUAGGGUAAUGCUUGCGAUAACUGCGUUUCAUGAUUAUGAAAUAUGGAAGAUGAACGUGAAAACCGCUUUCCUUAAUGGAAAGUUGGCUGAGGAUGUUUACAUGAAUCAGCCAGAGGGUUUUGUCGAUGCGAAGCAUCCAAAUAGAGUAUGCAAGCUUGAGAAAUCCAUUUAUGGAUUGAAACAAGCAUCUCACAGAUGGAAUCUUUGUUUUGACUAGAAGGUUAAAGAGUUUGGCUUUAUGCGAAGAGACGAUGAAUAUUGUGUGUAUGUCAAAGCCAGUGGGAGUAUAGUGAGCUUCCUCGUAUUGUAUGUCGACGACAUGCUGCUCAUAGGAAACGAUGUCCCAACCUUGCAGGAGGUCAAGUCCUAGCUUGGGAAAUGUUUCGCUAUGAAGGACCUCAGAGAGGCUGCUUAUAUUCUGGGAAUACGGAUAGUAAGAAACAGAAAAAAGAGACUGAUAGGACUCAGUUAGGAUACCUACUUGGAUAAGAUACUAAAGCGUUUCAGUAUGGAGAAUUCCAAGAAAGGGGAGUUGCCAAUCCAAAGCAAUACCAAGCUGAGUAAGACUCAGAGCCCGAGUACAGAGGCAGAGAUAAUUGAUAUGAGCCGAGUACCUUACGCUUCCGCAGUAGGCUCUAUCAUGUACGCUAUGAAUUGUACUCACCCUGAUGUGGCCUUCGCUUUGAGCAUGGUCAGCAGAUAUCAGGGGAACCCUGGUAGAGCCCAUUGGAAUGCAAUUAAGAAUAUCCUUAAGUUCCUGCGAAGGACCAAGGAAUGGUCUCUAGUCCUCGGUAGGAGUGAUGACUUAAGGGUACGAGGGUAUAGUGACACUUGUUUUCAGACGGAUCGGGAUAGUUACUGAUCGCAGUCAGGCUGGGUCUUUACCCUAAAUGGAGGAGCAGUGACUUGGAAAAGUUCCAAGUAGGAGACCGUAGCUGAUUCAACGUGCGAAUAAGAGUACAUUACGUCGAGCGAAGGGUCAAAGGAGGCUAUAUGGUUGAAGAACUUCAUUGGAGACCUUGGAGUUAUGCCAUCCAUAAAAGAGCCGAUGGAAAUUUUCUGUGAUAAUGAAGGAGCGGUUGCCUUGACCAAGGAAACAAUAGAUCAUGGUAGAUCUCGACAUAUCGACAAAAAAUACCAUUUUAUCAGACAUCGGGUAGAAGAGGGACUCCUCGUAGUGAAUAGGGUAUCAUCAGAAGAAAACCCAGCAGAUCCCCUUACGAAGGGACUGAGUAGGGUCAAACACUUGUAGCACGCUAGGAGCAUUGGGCUGAAGGAUGAUAUAAGUUUGGAUUAUAUAGGAAACGUGUAAUAGAUAGUUUGUACUUGACAUUUGAUGAAUAAAUAAAAUUGUGUUAUUUAUGAGUAAAGCUACUAUCUUGUGUUGGUUAUUUAUCUAUUGUUUCAAUUUUGCAUGUUUUGACUUCCUGAAUGAUAGGAUUAUUCAAACAGUCCACAUUCGGUCAUAUUUUGGAGGUAGAUAUGAAUAAAGAAUGUCAUGAAUUGUUUGUAGAUUGUGUAAAAGGUUUUGGGCAUAGAAAAGGUUUGCUACAAAGUUCAUGAGUGCUUAUGAAUAUGAUUUGAGCAUUGGAAUAAACCCGCUUGCUGGUAUCACUAUUUUAUUAUGAGUGAUCGCAAGAUGAUAAUAUCAUAUAAUCUUUAAACCUAGAGAUAUGGUUAUUGUUUACUAGUUGAUUAUACAUUGAUAAUGUGAAAACGCAUCAGUAACUCGGUUUUAUAAAACGCAUUAUUGUGUGUGACUUAGCUAGUGAAUAGUAAAAGCAUAUAAGUUGAAGUUUAUGUGUUUCUUUUGUUCUAAGAGGACAAAAGCGAUAUCUUGGUCACUCGAUGAUUUGUUUUGACUUAUGUGCUGGGCCCNUAAAACUUAGAGAUAUGGUUGUUGUUUGCUGGUUGGUUGUGCAUUGAUGAUGUGUAAACGCAUCAGUAACUUGAUUUUAUAAAACACAUUAUUGUGUAUGAUUCAAUUAGUAAAUAAUAGAUGCAUAUGCGUCGAAGUUGAUAUGUUCCUUUUGUUCUAUGAGAAUGAAAGUGAUAACUUGGCCACUUGAUGAUUUGAUUUGACUUAUGUGUCGGGCCCGGUCAGAAUGAAGUUGAUGUGUUCAACUAAAUUCUAUGUCAAACAAAUCGGAAAUCAAGGAUCAAAUGCUGGACAAUAAGCAUUGUUAGCAUGAUAUCUAGAACGGAGAAUUAUACAAUCCCUUAUCUAAAGGACAGGUUGAUCAGAGUUAACAACAGAGUAUAAGAGCUACGAUUGCUAAUCGGAUUCUGAAGUCAUAUGUGAGAAAUAGUUACUAGACUUAUCCAAGUGGGAGACUGUUGGAUUAGUGUCUAAGCCCGUAACUAUAUUUGGUAUGUACUUGACCCGAUUAUGCAUGGUCCUUUUGGGUUGCCUUCUCCAAAGCAAUUUGAUAAGGUAAUUUAAGGAGAAAGAGAGAAUAUUAUGGUUUAUUAAUAUAUUAUAAAAAUAAUAUAUUAAAGGAUAAAUCAUAUUUAUUUGAUNUCUAUAGGCUGCUUGGUGAUUAAGCUGUCCAUUAGGGUUUAGGCUAAAACCCUAGCAGCUAGCAGUAUAAAUAAGACCCCUAGGCUAUGGAAAUCGGCUACCACUUGAUUCUAAGAGAACCCUAGGCCGAUUUCUAGCAUCUCUCACCCUCUCUCAUAUUGCCUUCUUGCUUGUGGGGUUUAUGAACCAUUAGAGGAGUUACAAUUGUGACUCUAGGCUCAAGAUCAACAAGAAUACAAGGAUUAAAGCUACUUGAAAGAGGUAAACCACUUAGAUCUGUUUUCUUUAUGAUAAUUUCGAAUUAUAUAUGAUAGAUCUAGGUUUGUAAGUCUUGGAUUCAAAGUAUGUACAAUAGAUAAACCUAGAUCCAAGCUUUAGGGUUUAUAUGAGCACAUAGGAUUGUUCUUAUGCAUAAAACCCAUCUGGUCUUGCUCCACGCUAUAGGCGAAGAUACCAGGGGGGGGGUCCAGCUUAUUUUGUAGGCCUAAGGAGAGUGGUCCAGCCUCAUUCUGUAGGCUUAAGAUGGUGGUCCAACUAUAUGUUGUGGGCUCAGGAGAGUGGUCUAGGUGUACUGUAGGCCUUGAGAUGCGGUCCAACGAGACUGAAGGCUUAUGUGUGCAUGUAUUUUAUGUAUAUUAUAGUGUGUGGUUUUUUUUUGGAGAAACUCAGUAAGCUUUGGAUUACAAUUGUGUAUUUAUAUGUUUCAGGUACUUCAUAGGAUUGGGGAAGGCGAAUGCUUGACUGUACACUUUAUCUUGUAACAGACAUGUUUUGAGAGAUAUUAUGUUUUGAUACUCUAAUUUUAUGAUGUAGUUGUAAAACUAUAUUUUUAUUACUUAUGUUCAAUGGAAAAAUAGUUUAUUCCCCUUUGAAAAUGAAAUAUUUUACCAUGGUUUUUGGGAUGUUACAAUCGUGGUAAUACUCUUACCGCACUGCGGCUCAUAAGGCUAUUUCAUCUACUUACCAUGUCACUGUUUCUCCAUUAUAUGUGAUACUUUUUUCUGUCACUAUAAAGAUUCGUCGCAAAAGAACUUACAAUCGCGUCAUGAUUUAGUUUUCUAUGUGCCGUGGUGGUUCAAAGUACGUUGCUUUCAUUAUUAAUCUUAUGUUAAUCGAUUUUGACACCUCCAGAACCGUGUCGUGGUUUAGUUUUCUACGCGCCGUGAUGGUUCAAAGUACGUUGAUGUCACUAUUCAUUUUAUGUCACUCCAUUUUAACACGUCCAGAAAUGCGUCGCGGUAAAUGCAAUUUUCCAUUCUUAAGGAUUUUUUUCUUCCUGUCUUACGCUUGUCUCAAAUGUCCUACUUCUUAACUCUUUAACCCUGUUUUUUCCUCAUAACUUAUGAAUCUUAUUACACCAAUUUAAUUUCUAAUACUUCUUUUUUACAACAUUAUACUUUUUACUCAAAAUCCAUGAAUUACUCAAAAUGACCAAAAUACCCUUUUUGGCCUAAACACUUUAAUUACUAUUACUUAAUCUUUAUCACAUACACAUGCAUAUUUUACACUACUACAAUAUUAUGAAUCAUAAUUUAGUUAAUACAACAUGAGUGCCACAAGUUAUUCCACUCUUAAAAGAUUUCAUCCCCGAAAUCUAGUUACAACAAGCAUGGGUAUUUAACUUUAAAUCCUUCUUCAGGUUCCCAAGUAGCAUCUUCUCCACUGUAAUGCUACCAUUUGACUUUCACAAGUCCUAUCCUUUUAUUUCGUAGCUUCAUAGCAUUUAGGUCUAAAAUGUCUUCCGAUUGUUCUUGAUACCUCAAUUUUUCAUCCACCUCUAUUUCUGUGACAUCCCCAAUUUCACGACCAGAAAAGACCGAUAUGUUUAUGAUUAUUUAAAAAUCAAAGUAUCCUUUUUGAGGAAUAACAUUUCGGAAUUUUUUCCCAGAAAACAUGAUAAUGAUAUUAUCAAAGCAUUUUUGAAGAAAUGUAUUUUAUUAAUAUUAAAACAUUAGGAUGUCAUCGUAAAUACAUAAACAUAAGCAUAAACAGACCUUACAUUAAUUUUCACUAAUGAUCUAUAUCUCCUUGAAUCCCUUAGUAGAAUUUAUCUUUAAUAUCGCUACCCGUGAUACAAUAAAGUGAGUGGGUCAGGUUGAUAAAGCUAGUGAGUACAUAAGGUUUUCAACCCACAAUAAUAUAGUUAAUUUGUUUCUUCACAUAUUUCAUGUCAAACAAUUAAACUGGUUACCAAUCCCCAUUUUCUUUAUUUAUUCUUCAAUAAAGAUUUAUCCUAAGGGUCAUCUCCUAAAUCGUAUAUACCUUUCAUCGCCUUACAUCACAUUUCCUUAUAUUUUUGUUCCUAAGGACUUUUCCUAAGGAUCAUCGCAUAUAAUGUACUGAUUUGAGGAUUGCUCCCACAAUACUUGUCCGUUAAGGGUCAGAGUAUCAUCGCAUGAAUACGUAGUUACUACAUCGCCUGAACUCAUAAUUCAUCACCUACAGGUUAUGAUCCUGCCGGUGUUUCCACAUGACUUGUUUAGAUUAGUCAGUGGUCGCCAUCUAUACUCUAGUAGAUGACUACAUCGCAAGUCAAGGUUAUGGAAUCUCCUAAUCAUCUCUCAUCUCACAUCGCCUAGUUACAUUACCUAUUUUUUUUUUAUCACCAAUCUAUCAUCACUUAGUUAUCAUCACCUAUCUCUCAUCACCCAUUGCUACCCAAUAAAUAUUUAUAAGUAUAUAAUACUUACAUGAUUAAAUUAGUUAAACGUCAUCUCAUAAUAUCUUAGCUAACACAUAAUAUUCUCGGCAUAUAUAAUAAGCACAGUAGCAUGUAAUUAUCAAGAUACUUCAUAUUUAUGUGUAAGAUAAAAAUAACUAUGCACUCACUUGUUAAAGUAAUGAUUCGUAAUUCGAACAUCUCUUCGAUUCUAGCAAUUGUCUUUUCCAUUGACGUAACCUAGUGUCAUUAUCACUAAGUUUUAGUCUAAUAUUUAUUGCGACUAAUAUUUAGUCUAGAUUCAUCAUUAACUCAAACUCUACUUUCAUGAUCUAUCAAGUAACGAACAACCAGGUAGGAUCAUAUCGGAGGUAGGGUCUAUUUGUUAUAUGAAGUAUAUUGUUUACAAUCCUACUUUAAACUGUUGGAUUAGUGUCUAAGGCUAUAUCUAUAUUUGGUAAGUACUUGACCCGGUUGUGCAUGGUCCUUUUGGGUUGCCUUCACCAUAGCAACUUGACAGGAUGAUUUGUAAAGAGAGAAGAGAUAUUAUUGUUAAUAUAUUAUAAGAGUAAUAUAUUAAAGGAAUAAUAAUAUUAUUUGAUUGAUAUAAGUCAUAUAUUAAUUGAGAAUUAAUUUGGUGACUUAAAGAGGUUAAUUGAAUAAAGGGGCAUAAACUGUCAAAUGUUUGAUAGUUGUGUUUUGGGCUAUGUAUCCUUAUGGAUAUUAGGGUGGAUGGAUUUUAGGGUUAGGAUACCUUAAAAUCGUCCAAGUGUAACAGCCCGGAAUCUCAGGUAUGGUUAAAAUUAUGUUUUUGGGGUGUUUUAAGAGGGGACUCGGCGAGUUGGAGCCUAGACUCGCCGAGUAGGAUCGCAGACCUGGUCGCGGGUUCGCGACUGGACUCGACGAGUCCAGAUAUGGACUCGGCGAGUCUGCGCUGUUUAGCGAAAACCCUAACCGUUCAGGUUUGGGACGUAUAAAAGGGACUUAUUGGCCGUCAUUGUUCAUUUUAGCCUUCUGAGAGGAACCCUAAAUCGAUUGUGUGCAUCUGGAGCAAGGUUAAAGGCCAUUGGUGAUUUUGAAGGAGUUGUUGUGCAAGGAAGAGAAGGGUUUGGCUAAAGGAACAGCAAGGGAGUCACGUUCUGAGGAUUGGGGACACAGAGAGUACAUCAUCCAGGUAAGAAUUCGAGUAUACUCUGCUAUGGUGAUGUGUUUAGAGGAUUAGGGUUUAUGGAACCCUUUUGUGGAUAGAUUGAAUGUUACCCUAGUCCCCCAAACGAUUGUAACCCUGUAUUGGGACCUUUGGAGGUCCAGAAUGUCCCAUGCCUGUGCAUUUCGGGAAUUGAUGAAGGUUUUGGAUUGGAAUCCUUAUGCCUUAGGUCAAUAUGUAAAUUAUAAGUCUUGGGGUGUAUCAUGAGCACCGAAAUGAGGACCUUACGUGAUGGACCAGUCUAGGAAGGCCAGACCUAUGAAUGGUCGGAGCAGUUCUGACCUUAGAAAGCAGUUUGAGCGGUUGCAUGGCAUGGACUCGCCGAGUCCGAUGAACAGACUCGGCGAGUAGCUUGAAGAUUAACUGGAACUCGUCGAGUUGUUCUUCAGACUCGGCGAGUUGAGUCGGGGUGGCCCCGCGAUUCUUCCAGGAGUAACUCGUCGGGUCAAGGAGGAUACUCNAGGAGUAACUUGUCGGGUCAAGGAGGAUACUCGACGAGUAGAAGGGGAAUCUUAGAGGAUUGGAGGACGUCUAGACUCGCCGAGUCGCCAUGGCACUCGCCGAGUCCGGUCGAGUUGACCGUUGACCGUUGACCAGAGUUGACCUAUGUGUGACUUCUUAGGGUCAGUUAACUUAGAAGAUAAAAGUGUUAAUAAGAGAUAUAUGAUGUUAUAGGGAGUUUGUAGCUCGGCGGACCGAGCACGAGUGAUUUCAGGAUUUGCUAGCUUUCAGUAUUCACGAGGUGAGUCUUCUCACUAUACUGUACCCGGAAGGUUUUGACUGUGUGACCGGAAGGACGGAUAUGAUAUGUGAUAUACGUGCUAUAUGUGGUAAGUUAAUUGUUAUGCGUGCUAUGCAAGUUUAUGUGGGCCGGAAGGCGUUGUGUAGUGGACCGGAAGGUCAGGGCCUGGAAAGGCGUAUGUGCGUAAGUUGUAUAUUGGGGAACUCACUAAGCAUUUAUGCUUACAGUUGUUAUGUAUGUGUUUCAGGUACUAACGAGGACCGUGGGAAGGCGUCGACGUGAUCUGUACACACUGAAGGAUGUUUUUAUGAUCUUGGGAAUUCAGACAAUUUGUAUUUGACAUGACACUUCAAUUAUUUAUGCCUUGUUUUGAAUGGGAAUACUUUAUUUUUUAAAAUGAAAAAUUUGUUUGGAAAUUUGCGUUGUUACACCAAGCCUCAUAUCUAGGAGGAUCUUUGGAUUGCUUAGGGCCUAAGUUAUUCAAUUAGGGUUAAGGGUGUAACCCUAGUAUCUCUUAGUAUAAAUAGACCCCUUGGGUGAGGGAAAUCGGCCAUACUCUUGCAAGGAAGAACCCUGGAGCCGAUUUCUCACCUCCUCUCUCUCUCUCUCUCUCUCUCUCUCAAGAUCAUCCUCUUGCUAGUUGGUGUUUGUAAGCCAUUAGAGGAGUGACAAUUGUGACUCUAAGCUCCAAGAACAAGAAGUUUCAAGCAAGCAUCUUAAGGUAUUCUUCUUGAUCUGAUUUCAUAUGAUAUAAUUCAAUUGUUUACACUAGAUCUAGAAUUGUAAGCCUUGGAUACAUUGCAUGUUCAAUUAGAGAAACCUAGAUCCAAUCAUUAGGGUUUGCAUGUGCACAUAGGAAAGUUCUUAUUGCUCAAACCCAUUAGUGGUAUCAGAGCUUUGAUUGAUUUCUAUUGAAUUGAUGCUUUGGUUAAUUGCUUGUUGCUUGAAAAAUUCGAUUUUAUACUUCUGAAUGGUGAACUCAGCGAGUUCCAAUGUGGACUCGGCGAGUAGCUCCAACUCGGCGAGUUCACAGAGGAACUCAGCGAGUUCUAGCUCCAGAAUGAGUCUAUCAGGGGAUUUCUUGCUGUUUUGCUUGAGGAUACUUGCCUUAAUUGUUUUGGGUCAUUAUAAUCCGAAUUUUAUGAUAUAUUGGAGUAUAUUCUUGACCAAACAAAAGAUAAUUACCAUUUUAUUGAAUAAUAAUUUCCUUAUAUGAUAAUAAUUGAUUAUUUGAAUUAAAUUGGUGGAUUGUAUUGCAAGUAAUAUUGAUUAGAUCAAAUUUAAAUAAUCUAAUUAGUUGAUUUGUAUUAUUUGCUAUUUGAUCCUUAUGUUUUGAAAAGUUUAAAACUUGUCCUCAAGUUUUGAAAUUUAAGUUUUGUGAUUAAAAGUUUAAUUUGAGUAAUUUAAAUUUCAAACCCUAGAAUUUUACAAGUUUAAAAUUCAACACUAUACUAAUAUAUUAUUACAAGAUUAAUAUAUAUAUAUAUGAUUAAAAAUGCUAGUCUUACUGUUAGUAGGCCUCAUUCACGAAGCCAGUCUANNNNNNNNNNNNNNNNNNNNNNNNNNNNNNNNNNNNNNNNNNNNNNNAACCAUUAUAUAUAUAUAUAUAUAUAUAUAUAAUUUAUAAAUGCUAGUCUUACCGUUAGUAGGCCUCAUUCACGAAGCCAGUCUAUAAGAUGGGUAUAAGGUUGCUGCCUAUAAAAUGGUGCUUAAUGGGUGUACACUCACACCCACCGCUUGCUUGACUGGUGGAGGGCCGUUAGCCGAACGGGUAGGAUAAGGCAAUCCUCUCCUCGUUAAUAAGUAUGAUGAAUCUAUAUAAAGUAACUAAAUGUAUUUCAUAAAAUUCCCAAUCUUAGUUACUUUAGGAAAACUGAAUUGAUGCAAUACCAUGAAAUUUCACUUUGCACCCUUGUUAAGAUAUUAGUGGAGCGUGUGUGGUUAACCGGCACACUAAUUGGUUCUAAGCAAAGGUGGCAAAGGGUGAUUGAUUGUUUGUCAUAGUUUGAUGGAACGUGUGUGGUUUACCGACAUAUCGAAUAGAUGACUGUAACAAUGAAGGCACCAUGUAGAUUUGCAUGGUUAUUCACACCCGCUUUGUGAUCUUCGGCAUCCUAGUCACAAACUAGAGGGGCAUAUCGAGAUUUAAACAUGCCAUUGAAAAGUUCAAUGAAUCUCAAAGAAAUCUUGGAAUUCUCAAUACAUUUAAAACUUAAGCUUGUGUUUUUCAUGGUGAAGAAUUAGUAAAUCGUCGUUCACUUACCUCCAAAUUGUUUGCAUGUUUGAUCACGGCAUCCCUGUUCUAAUGUGUAAAUAAUGUUGUUGGGUCCUAACCCUAAUUUUUCAUUUUGGGUGUUAAUUAGGGACUUAACUCUAAUCAAACUUUGUUCCUUUAUAUUUGUAGAUGACUGAUGCGAACAACGCUGCUGCUAGCUCAUUCAUGCUAAUGAGCCUUUGUCAAAAAGUGACCUUUGACGGAUCGAACUUUAGCGAAUGGAUAAGAUACAUUCGCACGAUCACGCAUUACGAGAAAAAAGAGUAUGUUCUCGAUGAGAAGCUCGAGAAGAUCAAUCUAGAAAUUGCUACUCCCGAAGAAAUGGUUGUUUUUGAGACCCAUGAGCGUGAUGCAACGAAAGUCCAUUGCAUCAUGCUAGUCAUGAUGAACUUCGAAUUCCAAAAGUCCUAUGAGGACAUGUAUCCUUAUGAGAUGCAUCUAUACUUGAUGGAGAGAUACCACCAAAGCGCGAGGCAAGAGCACUAUGAAAUCAUAACGAAUAUGAUCACUGCUAAAAUGGGAAGUGGAGAGUCUCUAACCGUGCACUUGCAAAAGAUGCAAAGGUAUGUUGAUCGUCUUCGCAAGUUGAAUGUCAACUUUGGGGAAGAUUUGGCUAUCGACAUUGUUCUUCACUCCUUGCCCUCAUGCUACAACCAAUUUAGGAUGACCUACCACAUGAACAAGGAAGAGGUCACCCUAAGCAAACUCCAAGGGCUCCUAAGGACUGCUGAGAGCAACCUCAAGGACAAGUCUGUUGCACUAACUCCCAAUCCACCCACUGCUCCUGUUUUGGCUAUUAGGCAGGGAAGGGGCAAGAAGAGGAAGGCUUCUUCAAAGAACCACCGCAAGGGAAAUUCCCAAGAUGGUUCCUCUUCUAGUGGGACCAAGGUUGAUCCGGCUAAGCCCAACCCAAACCCAAAGGAGGCAGAGUGCCAUUAUUGCCACAAAAUAAGGCAUUGGAAGAGAAGUUGCCCUGAAUAUCUGCAAGCCAUCAAGGAUGGGAAGAUCAAGCCAUCUUUCGCAUGUAUUUACACAAUUAAAUCUAAUGAUUCAUCUCAUGCUAUUUCUUGGGUUCUUGAUACAGGGUGUGGUUACCACAUUUGUUCUGAUUUGCAGGGACUAGGAAGAAAUAGGGAUGUGGAGCUUGGAAGAAUAAAUCUAAUCAUGGGGAACAGAAGAUCGUCGCCUGUUACCAAGAUUGGAGUGUAUUCUUUAGUGCUUAGUAAUGGAUUGAAUUUAGAUUUAAAUAAUUGUUGCUACUCGCCAGAUAUGGCAAGAAACAUCAUUUCUUUUCAUGGUUUAUUUAGACAAGGAUUUAGAUAUUCGUUUAAUAAUGAGAAUGGUUCAAUUUAUGCUUAUCUAAAUGGUGUUUUAUAUUUGGAAGCAAUGCCUUGUAAUGGAAUUUAUGAAAUUGUUAUGGUUGUAGAUAACCUAGGAAAUGAUGUAUUGUGUAUGGAUUCUUCCAAUAGUAUGGAUUGUCGUAUUGGACAUGUCAACAAGAAGCGCAUAGCCAAACUCCAAAAGGAUAGAGUGUUGGAGUCAUUCGACCUUAGGGAAGAUGACACAUGUGAAUCUUGUUUACUUGGAAAGAUGACCAAGUCACCCUUUACUAGCACAUGUGAAAGGGGUGAGGGUUUAUUGGACCUAAUACAUAGCGAUGUAUGUGGACCCUUUAGAUCGACCACAAAGGAUGGGAACCGCUUCUAUGUGACUUUUACCGAUGACUAUAGUAGAUAUGGGUAUAUCUACUUCAUCAAGCAAAAGUCAGAAACGUUUGAAAAGUUCAAAGAGUUCAAGAAUGAAGUAGAGAAUCAAUUGGGCAGGAAAAUCAAGAUGCUUCGAUCCGAUCGAGGAGGAGAGUACCUAAGUCUUGAAUUCCACGACUAUCUAAAAGAGUGUGGAAUAGUUUCACAAUUUACGCCACCUAGGACACCGCAGUUGAAUGGUGUGGCAGAAAGGCGUAAUCGAACCUUGUUAGACAUGGUUCAUUAUAUGAUGAGUCGUGCUUCACUACCUAUCUCUUUCUGGGGGUAUGCCUUAAAGAAUGCCACCCAUAUCCUUAACCGAGUUCCUACAAAGAAGGUUGCCAAAACACCUCACGAGAUGUAGACAGGGAAAGCUCCCUCGUUAGCACAUAUCAAGG